This 507-nucleotide ribosomal RNA is filed under the name uncultured Glomus. RNAcentral's name for it is "SSU rRNA". It matches the Rfam family "Eukaryotic small subunit ribosomal RNA", at positions 569 to 1078 of the family's 1831-position model. Lineage: Eukaryota; Fungi; Glomeromycota; Glomeromycetes; Glomerales; Glomeraceae. The record is from RNAcentral.
AGCAGCCGCGGUAAUUCCAGCUCCAAUAGCGUAUAUUAAAGUUGUUGCAGUUAAAAAGCUCGUAGUUGAAUUUCGGGAUCAGUAUGUUGGUCGUGCUUCGGUACGUACUGUCAUUACUGGUUUCUCCCUUCUGAAGAACCUUGAUGUCAUUAAUUUGGUGUCUUGGGGAAUCAGGACUGUUACUUUGAAAAAAUUAGAGUGUUUAAAGCAGGCAUACGCUUGAAUACAUUAGCAUGGAAUAAUGAAAUAGGACGUUUGAUUCUAUUUUGUUGGUUUCUAGGAUCGACGUAAUGAUUAAUAGGGAUAGUUGGGGGCAUUAGUAUUCAAUUGUCAGAGGUGGAAUUCUUGGAUUUAUUGAAGACUAACUACUGCGAAAGCAUUUGCCAAGGAUGUUUUCAUUAAUCAAGAACGAAAGUUAGGGGAUCGAAGACGAUCAGAUACCGUCGUAGUCUUAACCAUAAACUAUGCCGACUAGGGAUCGGAUGAUGUUAAUUUUUUAAUGACUCA